This 238-nucleotide ribosomal RNA is filed under the name uncultured Lactobacillus sp. Its description in RNAcentral is "partial 16S ribosomal RNA". It matches the Rfam family "Bacterial small subunit ribosomal RNA", at positions 125 to 355 of the family's 1533-position model. The record is from RNAcentral. Lineage: Bacteria; Bacillati; Bacillota; Bacilli; Lactobacillales; Lactobacillaceae.
CCGUGCCCAAGAGAUCGGGAUAACACCUGGAAACAGAUGCUAAUACCGGAUAACAACAGAUGAUGCCUAUCAACUGUUUAAAAGAUGGUUCUGCUAUCACUCUUGGAUGGACCUGCGGUGCAUUAGCUAGUUGGUAGGAUAACGGCCUACCAAGGCGAUGAUGCAUAGCCGAGUUGAGAGACUGAUCGGCCACAUUGGGACUGAGACACGGCCCAAACUCCUACGGGAGGCAGCAGUA